This 216-nucleotide ribosomal RNA is filed under the name uncultured bacterium. RNAcentral's name for it is "partial 16S ribosomal RNA". It matches the Rfam family "Bacterial small subunit ribosomal RNA", at positions 524 to 741 of the family's 1533-position model. The record is from RNAcentral.
UACAUGUGGGGCAAGCGUUGUUCGGAAUUACUGGGCAUAAAGGGUGCGUAGGCGGUUUGUUAAGUCACUGGUGAAAGUUUUCGGCCCAACCGGAAAGUUGCCUGUGAUACUGGCGAACUUGAGUGCGUGAGGGGUGGGGGAACGGAGCAGUGGUAGCGGUGAAAUGCCGUAGAGUAUCGAGAGGAACACCUGCGGCGAAGGCGGGUUGCGUGGGCU